UGAUAACAUUUUCUUCCGAUGUUUGGGAUGAAGAUAUUUGUGUGGUAACCACCCCACGCUUGCAUAAUAUUUCCCUGGCUCCGUCAACAAAUUCUUUUUGGUUGAAAAAAGUCUGAAUUCAAAUCUGUGACUUCCAUAACAAAAACACAUAAGUUUACUGAUAGUCCCUUAGACUUGGAUAAGGUUUUGAAGUAUCUCCAUGUUGAUGUUUCUCUCAAAUUAUUGGGAUGGGCCCAACUAUCCAUUAGGUUUACACAUCUGGGAGUUGACCCCAAUGUUUGUAAGAUAGCAGAGGUAGUUGGUUGAUUUGAGGUCUCUGGACAAUACCUCCCAAUUCCCCGGAUUGAUUGUAACAGUCGGAGUUGUUGAUGACCAAGAAGAUUGCUCAGGUUUCCAGGAUGACAAGAUAUCCGACACAUCAGGAUGGCGAUAAAUGGAUGUUGUAGGGUGUACUUCCCCAGCGAACAUCAGUGAAUUCAGCAGACAAUUCUGAAACAUGAAGUCAUAAUUGACAUCUCCUAAGAAUGCUAAUUUGUUUGUAGUUGCGAUCAUUCGUGUCAAUUUAGAUGGAUUCUGUGCUGCAUAUCCUCCGCUGCUUUGUCGGGAGCAGUUGAAUCUAUGAAGUGCGGAUCCUGUUCGCUUGAAUCUAUGAAUGGUGCUAGCCCAAUCCUCUCCGGUGAGGGACAUUAGAUUUUCAAUUAUGGAUUGGGCUAAAUUGCUGGUAGGUUCGAUAAACCAUCCUAUAGAAUUCCUAAGG
Molecule: long non-coding RNA, 757 nt
Organism: Drosophila montana
Lineage: Eukaryota; Metazoa; Arthropoda; Insecta; Diptera; Drosophilidae
Exons: 3
Source: RefSeq, a predicted model, not a curated record